AGUUCGAUUAUGGCUCAGAUUGAACGCUGGCGGGAUGCUUUACACAUGCAAGUCGAACGGCAGCACGGACUUCGGUCUGGUGGCGAGUGGCGAACGGGUGAGUAAUGUAUCGGAACGCCUUAGUAGUGAUAACUACGCGAAAGCGUAGCUAAUACCGCAUACCAGCCCUUCGGGAAAGCGUGGGGACCUUCGGGCCUCGCACUAUUAGAGCGGGCCGAUAUCGGAUUAGCUAGUUGGUGGGGUAACGGCUCACCAAGGCGACGAUCCGUAGCUGGUUUGAGAGGACGACCAGCCACACUGGGACUGAGACACGGCCCAGACUCCUACGGGAGGCAGCAGUGGGGAAUUUUGGACAAUGGGGAAACCCUGAUCCAGCCAUCCCGCGUGUGCGAUGAAGGCCUUCGGGUUGUAAAGCACUUUUGGCAGGAAAGAAACGGCACGGGAUAAUACCCCGUGCAACUGACGGUACCUGCAGAAUAAGCACCGCUAACUACGUGCCAGCAGCCGCGGUAAUACGUAGGGUGCAAGCGUUAAUCGGAAUUACUGGGCGUAAAGCGUGCGCAGGCGGUUCGGAAAGAAAGAUGUGAAAUCCCAGAGUUUAACUUUGGAACUGCAUUUUUAACUACCGAGCUAGAGUGUGUCAGAGGGAGGAAUUCCGCGUGUAGCAGUGAAAUGCGUAGAUAUGCGGAGGAACACCGAUGGCGAAGGCAGCCUCCCGGGGAUAACACUGACGCUCAUGCACGAAAGCGUGUGGAGCAAACAGAUUAGAUGGCCCUGGUAGUCCACGCCCUAAACGAUGUCAACUAGCUGUUGGGGCCUUCGGCCUUGGUAGCGCAGCUAUGGUGAAGUUGACCGCCUGGGGAGUACGGUCGCAAGAUUAAAACUCAAAGGAAUUGACGGGGACCCGCACAAGCGGUGGAUGAUGUGGAUUAAUUUAGAUGCAACGCGGAAAACCUUACCUACCCUUGACAUGUCUGGAAUCCUGAAGAGAUUUGGGAGUGCUCAAGAGAACCGGAACACAGGUGCUGCAUGGCUGUCGUCAGCUCGUGUCGUGAGAUGUUGGGUUAAGUCCUGCAACGAGCGCAACCCCGUCAUUAGUUGCUACGAAAGGGCACUCUAAUGAGACUGCCGGUGACAAACCGGAGGAAGGUGGGGAUGACGUCAAGUCCUCAUGGCCCUUAUGGGUAGGGCUUCACACGUCAUACAAUGGUCGGGACAGAGGGUCGCCAACCCGCGAGGGGGAGCCAAUCCCAGAAACCCGAUCAGGUCCGGAUCGCAGUCUGCAACUCGACUGGGUGCGGAAGUGUCGGAAUCGCUAGCAAUCGCGGAUCAGCAUGCCUGCGGUGAAUACGUUCCCGGGUCUUGUACACACCGCCCGUCACACCAUGGGAGUGGGUUUUACCGGAAGUAGUUAGCCUAACCGUGCGGAGGGCGAUUACCACAGUAGGAUUCAUGACUGGGGUGAAGUCAACAAGGUAG
Molecule: ribosomal RNA, 1479 nt
Filed under: uncultured Bordetella sp.
Lineage: Bacteria; Pseudomonadati; Pseudomonadota; Betaproteobacteria; Burkholderiales; Alcaligenaceae
Description: partial 16S-23S ribosomal RNA intergenic spacer
Rfam family: Bacterial small subunit ribosomal RNA
Source: RNAcentral